Molecule: ribosomal RNA, 610 nt
Filed under: uncultured bacterium
Lineage: Bacteria
Description: bacterial SSU rRNA
Rfam family: Bacterial small subunit ribosomal RNA (bases 1-539)
Source: RNAcentral
CCUACGGGAGGCAGCAGUGGGGAAUAUUGGACAAUGGGCGAAAGCCUGAUCCAGCAAUGCCGCGUGAGUGAUGAAGGCCCUCGGGUUGUAAAGCUCUGUCGGGAGGGACGAAAAAGCGCGGGUAACGCCGUGACUUGACGGUACCUCCAAAGGAAGCACCGGCUAACUCUGUGCCAGCAGCCGCGGUAAUACAGAGGGUGCAAGCGUUGUUCGGAAUUACUGGGCGUAAAGCGCGUGUAGGCUGCGAUCUAAGUCAGGUGUGAAAGCCCUCAGCUUAACUGAGGAAGUGCACUUGAUACUGGGUUGCUUGAGUGUCGGAGGGGGUGGCGGAAUUCCCGGUGUAGAGGUGAAAUUCGUAGAUAUCGGGAGGAACACCUGUGGCGAAGGCGGCCACCUGGACGACAACUGACGCUGAGACGCGAAAGCGUGGGUAGCAAACAGGAUUAGAUACCCUGGUAGUCCACGCUGUAAACGAUGAGUGCUAGACGUCACGGGUAUUGACCCCUGUGGUGUCGAAGUUAACACGUUAAGCNCNCGCGNGGAGACGUCGCGAGAUAAACUACAAGAAGUAGAGCGUGAGAGUGACGACGGACGACGACGAGGGAGGAGG